CCGGUUAGGUUACGUCGGGUCGGGUAGGUACGACGGACGGACGUUACUUACGUAAAAGAAAACGAAACAACUAACAACGACGAAACGAAAAGGAAACGUUACGGACGGAAAGGAAGAACGGAAGGAACCGACCGUACGGUCGUCGUACUAGUUGUAGGUAGAGGAGGACGCACGAGUGUGGAGGAGAAAGAACACACACACACACACACACACACACACACACACACACACGGCCCAGACUCCUACGGGAGGCAGCAGUAGGGAAUCUUCGGCAAUGGGGGCAACCCUGACCGAGCAACGCCGCGUGAGUGAAGAAGGUUUUCGGAUCGUAAAGCUCUGUUGUUGGUGAAGAAGGAUAGAGGUAGUAACUGGCCUUUAUUUGACGGUAAUCAACCAGAAAGUCACGGCUAACUACGUGCCAGCAGCCGCGGUAAUACGUAGGUGGCAAGCGUUGUCCGGAUUUAUUGGGCGUAAAGCGAGCGCAGGCGGAAGAAUAAGUCUGAUGUGAAAGCCCUCGGCUUAACCGAGGAACUGCAUCGGAAACUGUUUUUCUUGAGUGCAGAAGAGGAGAGUCGGAAUUCCAUGUGUAGC
This 591-nucleotide ribosomal RNA is filed under the name uncultured bacterium. RNAcentral describes it as "bacterial SSU rRNA". It matches the Rfam family "Bacterial small subunit ribosomal RNA", at positions 84 to 679 of the family's 1533-position model. The record is from RNAcentral.